GGAAGGGGGGUUGGGAGCAGUGGGGGUUGGAGGGUGCAGAUAUUUGGGCUGCGGUGGCAUCUCGGCUCCCCCGCCCCUACCCCAACCUGCCCAUCAGCAAUUUGUGCCAAUCGAUUGAGUAGGGGAGGCGGGUGCUGUGAGCAACGCGGGCUGGCCAGGAACGAAGAGAUUUAGGAGCAAGAUCAGUGCACGCCGUUGCUGGGAUCUAGCUAUCCCGUAACCCUCCAUGUUCCCGUCCCCCUCCACCCCUUUCCUUUGGCUCCAGUUUGCCAGCACAGCGCCUGAGAAGGGAAAGCAGGCAGUGUGCCUUCCCGAGAUCCAGGCUGCCCUAACUUGUGCCACGCUUGGCGUAUAAUCCUCCUGCCUGGAAUAGCGCAGCAGCCUCUUUUGAGACGCAAGGGGAAGAUUCAGGAGGUGCAGCACAGAGAGUUUUCUCCUUCCCACCCUCCCCAUGUGCUUCAAUCCGGAGGGACCAUCCCGAGAGGCAAAGACGGGGUCCCCACAUGCUUCUCUUUUGAUCCGAGCUGCUUCUAAUGAAAAAUCAUCAGCUGCUCCUUUUUCUCAGAGAGAAGCCAGCUGGCCCUACAAGUGCUGUGAGGACACACACCGCACUAGCCGGCUGAAGGCAGACCGGGUGUUUUUUUCGUGUACACCAGGCCGUGAAACAAAUCUGCUGUCUCGAAGUAAAAUAAAUAGUUCAGCACCCUCAAAGCUGCGCGAUGAAGCCGCAGGGUGCAGAAGUUCACUGCAAAGAUAACAAAGGCAGGCGACCGCCGGCACCAUCGAAGGAAAAACAUUUCACAAAAAUAGACACGUCCCAGGCUGACGCUGCGGCUAUGUCUGGAGCGAUUUUAAUGGAUGAGUUAUAAACCCCUCUACAGUCAAGCCUUGUAAUGGAAAAAGUGACACAGCCUGAAUUCUGUGCGGUGCAGUGGUAGGAGCAGACCGGCACCCACCGGCUAUACAGACAGGAGAGACCAAGGGGAAAAAUGACCCACGUGUUAUGAAACUUUAUUUGUUGAUCAUAAAAGCUGGGUUGUUUUUACAAAAGUAAUGAGUGUGAAAGCUGCAUGAGUGAGACAGUGCUGCCUAGUGGCUGGAUUGGAACUCAGGAAGCCUGGAUGCUAUUCUUGGCUCUGACACUGGCCUGCUGGAUAACCUUGGGCAAAUCACUGCCCUCCCCAUCUGUGCCUCAGUUUCCCCUAUCUCUAAAAUGACCUCUCCUCUUUUGUAAAGUGCCUUCUGAUCUACUGAUGAAGAGCUAAGGGUUAGUAGUGCUCGACAUUGGGAUCUGUCAGGGAUGAUCUAGAUCAGGGGUGGGGAACCUAAGGCCUGGGGCCAACUGUGGCCCCUGGCUUGCCUGAUUCUGGCUCCCAAGGCUCAGGGUUCCCCUUCCAGCAUUGGGGAGCCUGCGCUGGUGCUCCAGCUCCCGCACUUCUCACUUGUGUGCGGCCCCCAACUGAUUUUUCUGUGGGACAGCGGCCCCCGGCCCAUAAAAGUUCCCCACCCCAAUCGAGACGGUAUUUGGUCCUGCCGUGAGGGCAGGGGACUGGACUCGAUGACCUCGCAAGGUCCCUUCCAGUUGUAGGGUUCUAUGAGGUUUCAAAUCUUACUCGGACAGGAUGACAGUGAUGUGCAUGCAUGUAUCCCCGCUCGGCCCGAGGAAGGGCGUGACGGUGGCAUUUAUUCAUGGUGGCCCUCCACACAGGCACGGCCAGC
Long non-coding RNA from Pelodiscus sinensis (Chinese soft-shelled turtle), 1719 nucleotides. RefSeq lists it as uncharacterized. The record is from RefSeq and is a predicted model, not a curated record. Lineage: Eukaryota; Metazoa; Chordata; Testudines; Trionychidae.